UACAGAGGUCUCGAGCGUUGUUCGGAUUCAUUGGGCGUAAAGGGCGCGUAGGCGGCGGGGCAAGUCGGGUGUGAAAUCUCAGAGCUCAACUCUGAAACUGCACUCGAUACUGCUUUGCUUGAGGACUGGAGAGGAGAUUGGAAUUCACGGUGUAGCAGUGAAAUGCGUAGAUAUCGUGAGGAAGACCAGUGGCGAAGGCGGAUCUCUGGACAGUUCCUGACGCUGAGACGCGAAAGCGUGGGGAGCAAACAGG
RNAcentral lists this ribosomal RNA (253 nucleotides) under uncultured bacterium. RNAcentral describes it as "partial 16S ribosomal RNA". It matches the Rfam family "Bacterial small subunit ribosomal RNA", at positions 524 to 776 of the family's 1533-position model. The record is from RNAcentral.